Molecule: long non-coding RNA, 1290 nt
Filed under: Homo sapiens (human)
Lineage: Eukaryota; Metazoa; Chordata; Mammalia; Primates; Hominidae
Description: HSALNT0009569
Source: RNAcentral
AAUUUCCUACUAUGACAUGUGUGUUGGACAGUGUAGGGCAUAGCAAUGAUUAGUGAUUUUCAGCAGCCUUUCUUGAAUAGGCAUUGAAAAUAGCUAAACAAAAAAAGAGAAAUGAGCUGAAUUCUUGGAGUUAAUAUUUUGGAGUGAAUUAUAAAACAGAGUUCUUGCAAUAAUGCAUGUAAAUUAAAAAUAGGUUAGCAAAGCAUGAGUAAAAAUAGUCAAUUUUCAAAUACUUUUCACAGCUCUCCGAGUCUGACAUAUUUCUCUGGCUAAAAGGGAAGAAACAUAUCGGCACUCAUGUUGGGAAGACCUUAGAACAGCAAAGUACUAAAACUUGCCAAACCAACUUCAAGUGGCUUUCUUGUUAGUGCAAUACACACUGCACUGAGUUCCUGAGCAUAAUAUUUCCACCCUUUCCCACGGAGUCUGCUUAAAUUUGAAGAUUUUUUUUCUAGUAGGUGUAUUGUCCUUAAUUUUGGAGGAAGUUUUAAAAAGGUGGAUUAAUGUUAUAUAUGCUUCCGAGAAUAUUAUGCAACCAUGAAGCUUUGCACUUCAACAUAAAUGAAUCCCAAAAAGAGCCAGAUGAACUGUUGGCUGGGAGGCAGAGCCUUAGGAUGUUUCAAAUUCAUCGUGACUUCACAUAAAGGUCCUCUCUGGAGUAUGAAAGUCAAUUUUACAGGUGUAAAAUAAAGGAAAAGACGACAGUCUGAAAGUCAAACGAAAUUCCAGGACCACCUGUAUUUCAGUGAGCAGGAACUGUACUAGGAGAAGGAGCCAGAAAGGUGGUGACAUACUUUUCCUUUCGUGGGGAAACAGUCUAAUGGAGAGAAGGACAAGUAAGAAACCACAAAGUGUAUUUUGGUUGCCUCUCAUAUCUCUUCAUCAUAUAUACCUCUUCAAAUUCAAUCGAGAUUUCAAUUCGUCUCACUUCUCCCCAACCUUACUCUGAUCUCCUGGUAAUUUUAGAGUAAUUGAGAAUAUUUUCUAACAUACGUGUCAACAUAAUGAAGGAGCUGGGACCUAAGUGAAGAAGCGACAAAAUUUACAGUGGCUUUGAAUGCUGGUUCCUGAAUGGAUUUGCUUGACUGCAAUUCAAUCUUUUUUGUGGCUCAAGGCUCACUCACCUCUAAAAGGCACUUUGUUUGUCAGAAUCGAUUUAAAUCAAUUUCUGUGGAAAUUAAAAUUAAAUAUGGUAUCCCUAAGAUUCUUGCAUUUAUUUCAAUUUUUAAAUUAUUGAUUUAUACAUGAUUUUUAUGCCCCAUCAUUAUAUGAACAUUUAUAUAAUUAGUG